AUGCGUGCGCAUGCGCUCUGGUCCAUGCUGGCUCACACCAUGGCUUCCAGCUCUCGUGCCCACGCAUGCGCACUUCCGUGGCUGCGAGUCCGAGCUGGGCUGCAGCUUGGCGUCCACCCCUCAUCGCCAGCUCUAACCGCCUGCGGUGUCCGCCUGGGAGCUGCUGGUCACCUGCACCAUGGGCCUCGCCUGUGCCCGGUCGCGGCUGAGAUGCUGCCACAGCGGGCGCGCUGGGCUGGCAGGGUUUCGUGGCCAGGCCUCAGCUGCAGCCGCCUCUCGGUCACACACAGGACCCUCACCCCGCUGCCAGGAAGGCUGGAGGCCCGUGUCCUGGUCACAUCCUGGGUGCCCACCGGACUGGAGGCCUCGGCUGUGAGACCUGCUGGAAACCAAGGCUGACACCCAAGCAAGAAAAGACGCCACCAGGAGAAGCUUGUGCCCUGCGACUCCGCUGUGGGGGGCCUCGGGUUCCUCCUCCAGGCAAACUGGCGCCGCUGCCGCACCUCCCACAGAGCACCGGGCCUGGGGACCCUCCAGCGUGAGGCCCACACCACCCCCAGCGUCCCUGGGCUCGCAGGUACCCGAAGGCCCUGCGGUCCCCACACAGGUUGAGCAAUGCCGCCGUGGACGUUUCCAGCUCGCGCUGACCGUGAUUCACCUACUUCCCCUCACGUUUGUUGGGCUGCGGGUGACUUGUCAUCUUUUAGGGGACAUCAUGACCUUUCUGGCGACCUCUCCAUGACGCGUUCCUGAGUCACCCUGAGAUAGCAUCUCAUUCACCUCUGUCCCCAAAACCCCUGCCCUCGUUUUCCGAUGGAAACAAGAACCUUGGCGACAGCUGCCAACCCCGACCCUGCCAUGCCUGCUGCACGUGUGAUCACUUCCAGGAAGGCCCCGUGCAGAGGCCACAUGAGGACAGCAAAGCCUGGAACUGGCUGGGAGAGGAGCCCCGGUGUGAACCUCGGCGGUUGGGGGUAGAAAGUCAGUGAUGCUGGACACUUAGCCAAGCACUUUGGGAGGUGAGAAGUUACGAAGGAGGAGCUCGGGAAGGGUUUAAGAAUCCCAGUUCAUUGCUUCGACCAGCAGAUCCCCCUGCCGUAGACACCGUGGACAGGUGCUUUUUACAGGUGGAAGGGACGUGAACAAACGGGUCCCUGCCCCGCCAGGAUCACAGUUUAGUGAGUGCAGUCAAUCAAUAUCAACCAAUAAUCAAUCAAUCUAUCUAUCUGGGAUUUGAUCGUUUGAAAUGGAGGCCCGUUGGUGCCAGUAAUUAGCAGAACCAUGCACGGCCCUGGGGUAGGGAGAGCAGGGCCAUUCUGGACUUCUCGGAUCCCAUGUAAUGUUUGAAGAAAGAGCUUACUCUGAGCCCCACUCAGAGGGUGGACGAGGACACGUGACCUCACAGCUCCCGUGUAGCCGCUGACCCUGAAUCCCAUCCCUGACCCCAGCCUGGUCCUUGGCAGUGUGUGACUUAGGGCAGCACCUGUCCUCGCUGUCCCCCAUUUCCUCGUCUGGACUCGGGGACAAUGGGCCUGCCCAGGGUCACAGUGGAGAGGCAAGGAGGUGGCACAUGGGUACUAAAAGGGAUUCCUGGUUCCGCUCCUUGACCUGUGGCACAUGUUGGCCUCCAGAGAGGCCGAGGACAGAGUCCCGGAUUCACAGACUUUAGGGGGGCCGUGGACCUCAGGGUCCUUCGACAGGGAGGUGCUGGAUGACAGGACGGUCACGACCUGGCUGCCUUGAGCUCGGUCCCAUAGUGCUAGGGAGCCGCUGGCCUCACGGUGCGCGGAGACCCUGGCUGCACCUUGAACUCUGGGUUUUAGCUGCUUCGGGCUUUUACGGGUCAGCACGGGCCACCUGCCAUGCCUGAGGACGGCUGUGCUCACAUUGGAGGCCCCAAAAGUGAGGGCAAGGGUGGAGGCCACCGCACACCUGGGGGCCUGGGAAUGGCGAAGCCACUUGGAAACAGCCCGACAGUUCCCACCCGGUCAGGCAUGGGGCACCCUGUGACCCCACGGCCCCAGCCCCAGGCCUGCACCCCGGGAGCACACACCGCCUGGUACUCGGGUGCUCACGGCGGCCUUACUCACACGGCCUGCACAGGGCUCCACCUGCGUGUCCCUGAGUGAGAUGCGGUCUGUCCGUCCACACAGUGGGACAUUGCUCGGCCACAUACAGAUACAAACCCUGAGAAGCCCGAGCAGAGUGCACAUCCCACACGGCUCCAUUUCUGCCUCAGUCAGAAGGGACAAAGCCACAGAGCCAGCGGGUGGCACAGGGGUGGCCGGGCCGGGAGCAGGGUGGAAUCGGCUGCUCAUAGGGCUGACGACAGUGACCCAAGCAUUGCAGGGCAUCGGCACGUGUCUCUGUGACACUGAAUUACAACCCACAGAACCGCACACAUGAGGUGACUUUGUGGUGCAUGACUUAGGUCCCAGUGAAACUCCAGCCCUCGCCAGAGCCCAGAUCAGUCAGCCCCAGGCUCAGGGACACCGACUGCCGUGGGGGUGGGGGGACUGCACCUUCCCCAGGAUCUGAACCUCCGGGAAGAGGGCGGGAAGAGGGGCACUGUGUACUUCCCUUUGUGGGUCUUUAAAAAUAAACGACAAACAGAAAAGAG
Long non-coding RNA from Cavia porcellus (domestic guinea pig), 2620 nucleotides. The record is from Ensembl. NCBI's taxonomy places the organism in Eukaryota, Metazoa, Chordata, Mammalia, Rodentia, Caviidae.